Molecule: ribosomal RNA, 537 nt
Filed under: Bifidobacterium animalis subsp. lactis
Lineage: Bacteria; Bacillati; Actinomycetota; Actinomycetes; Bifidobacteriales; Bifidobacteriaceae
Description: bacterial SSU rRNA
Rfam family: Bacterial small subunit ribosomal RNA
Source: RNAcentral
GGGUGGUAAUACCGGAUGCUCCGCUCCAUCGCAUGGUGGGGUGGGAAAUGCUUUUGCGGCAUGGGAUGGGGUCGCGUCCUAUCAGCUUGUUGGCGGGGUGAUGGCCCACCAAGGCGUUGACGGGUAGCCGGCCUGAGAGGGUGACCGGCCACAUUGGGACUGAGAUACGGCCCAGACUCCUACGGGAGGCAGCAGUGGGGAAUAUUGCACAAUGGGCGCAAGCCUGAUGCAGCGACGCCGCGUGCGGGAUGGAGGCCUUCGGGUUGUAAACCGCUUUUGUUCAAGGGCAAGGCACGGUUUCGGCCGUGUUGAGUGGAUUGUUCGAAUAAGCACCGGCUAACUACGUGCCAGCAGCCGCGGUAAUACGUAGGGUGCGAGCGUUAUCCGGAUUUAUUGGGCGUAAAGGGCUCGUAGGCGGUUCGUCGCGUCCGGUGUGAAAGUCCAUCGCCUAACGGUGGAUCUGCGCCGGGUACGGGCGGGCUGGAGUGCGGUAGGGGAGACUGGAAUUCCCGGUGUAACGGUGGAAUGUGUAGAUAU